AAUAGAGAGCUGAGUCAGUAGGUAGCCCCGUAUCGGGCCAGAGAACCCCCGGAUCUAACAAUAAAUUGGCAGGAGCUGCCAGUGGGCAACACAGUCCAGCUAGGCUGAGUAACGGAGCUAACCGCUAACAACAUUGACGGAAGUUGGAUUGAGUUACAAUGUGAUGUAUUCAGGGUCUAUUCAGUAAAAAAUAUUGAGCGAAAGGUAUAACUUCAUCAUGACGUGUUAAAUUGCAAUCUUGUAAAAUUAAGUUUUUGGCAAGAAACUUGAAUAAAUGCAGUUUUGUGGACAAGAAAUGGAACUGAGUCCUCUUUCAAAUAAAGUGAGGAUGUUAACGCAAAUGGAACUGAGUCCCUUUUCUGUUGGUCCACUUUAAGAGGUCUGAGUUUGGUUUGUUUAAAACUAAAUACACUAAAUAACUCAUGACUGCUCUCAUGUCCAUUUCCUUGCCAAAACAUGUAGUGUCGAUCAAAAAUCUCUGCCUUCAUUUAUUUUAGAGACCUUUUGAAGAGGGUUUCUGAUGUCAUGCUCAUAUUUGGCUUCAUGCAUCUUGCUGAUGCUGUUGCGGGUGUGGCUGGAGGUGUUCUCAGAGGAGCAGGAAAACAAUUGAUUGGUGCUCUGUGUAACCUGGUGGGAUACUACUUCAUUGGUUUCCCUAUUGGUGUGUCCCUAAUGUUUGCAGCAAACAUGGGCAUUGUAGGUAAGACCAGACCAGUAAUUCAGUGUUCUUAAAUUUUCCCUAUUGGUGUGUCCCUAAUGUUUGCAGCAAACAUGGGCAUUGUAGGACUAUGGAUAGGGCUCACCGUUUGUGUGUUGAUGCAGUCGAUUUUCUUCAUCAUGUUUGUGUUCAAACUCGAUUGGAAGAAGGCAGCUGAAGAGGCUCUUGUAAGAGCAGGAAUCCAGAUCAAAGAAGAAAAAGAGAUGGUCGUGAUGGAAAAUACAGACUCGACUCAGAACCACGCUACUGCAUCUAGUGUGGAGAGUGCUGAGGGGGGCAACACAUAUGAGGAGGUGCAUAUGGAUAUACAAAAUAUAUCCGCUACCACUACAGUGGGAAAUAUUCUGUCAAUACCACAGCUGGUUUUACGACGUGGCCUCACAUUGCUGCUUAUGGUCAUUAUUCUUGUCGCUGGAAUCUUCGCAAGCAGCCUCCUCACCAUGCUACUGAAAUGAGUCACCCGCUAACAUAACGCUGGCAGUCAGACAGAAGGAGGUCUGGAUCAAUGGCGUCAUCGGCCGUUAAACGAUACGUUCUAGGGAACAAGUUAUUGAAAUAUGAAUUAACUUGUAAUGAAAGGGUUACUGGUGCUAUUGAGGAUCAACCCCUUAGUCUGCUGCUUUUUGCAGCUAUUAGCCAGUAACCCUCUCAUAUAUGGCAGAAAAUUAAACAAGGCGAUAAGUGUGGAAUAUCUAGCAAGCCAAAAAGACCCAGAUAGUUUUUGAGGAGUUGGCGGACCAAACCUUUUCAAAACCAGUCUGUACAACAAUUUGAAAGUCUUUAUAGCUCAUAGUUGCUUAAAGUGGCAAUAGACAUCUUUUCAGCUUUUCCCCCACUAGCGUUUCCAAAUCGUAUUAUUGUUGGUGCCGCUGUAGCAAAUAGAACUGGAUAGUUUACGUUACUUUUUAUUAGUGCUGGGCGAGUUAACGCGAUAAUAACGCAGUUUUUUUUAAAUUAUUAUUAAGCGGAUAUUUUUAACACCAGAACCAGCCGGUCGGCCGGCAUCGAGUGGUGAACAGCUGUUUGUGUGGCGUCUCUUCCCGUUUCCUUCACCUACACUCCCCUGGGUCCUAAGUCUUCUUCU
This is an RNA transcript of Anarrhichthys ocellatus (wolf-eel), 1802 nucleotides long. It is a transcript of the gene named multidrug and toxin extrusion protein 1-like, with no coding region annotated. The transcript is spliced from 5 exons. The record is from RefSeq and is a predicted model, not a curated record. Lineage: Eukaryota; Metazoa; Chordata; Actinopteri; Perciformes; Anarhichadidae.